GAUGAACGCUGGCGGCGUGCUUAACACAUGCAAGUCGAACGGCAAGGCCCUGCUAUUGUGGUGUGCUCGAGUGGCGAACGGGUGCGUAACACGUGUGUAACCUGCCCUAGACUUUGGGAUAACUUCAGGAAACUGGGGCUAAUAUAGGAUCGGAGCUGCUGCUGCGUGGUGGGGGUUGGAUAGUUUCGGCGUUCGGGGAUGGACUCGCGGCUUAUCAGCUAGUUAGUGGGGUAGUGGCUUACCAAGUAAUUGACGGGUAGCCGGCAUGUGUGGGUGGACGGGGACAAGAGGACUACGGGACGGACCAGACGCCUACGGGGGACAGUAGUGGCGAGCAUUGCACAGUGAUCGGGAGUCGGAUGCGGAAGCCUCGCGGUCGGGAUGACGGUCUGCGGGGUGUGAACAGCUGCCGCUUGUGACGAAGCGGGAGUGACGGUAACGGAUGAAGAAGCACCGGCUAACUACGUG
RNAcentral lists this ribosomal RNA (468 nucleotides) under uncultured bacterium. RNAcentral describes it as "partial 16S ribosomal RNA". It matches the Rfam family "Bacterial small subunit ribosomal RNA", at positions 28 to 507 of the family's 1533-position model. The record is from RNAcentral.